Molecule: long non-coding RNA, 582 nt
Organism: Ictalurus punctatus (channel catfish)
Lineage: Eukaryota; Metazoa; Chordata; Actinopteri; Siluriformes; Ictaluridae
Source: Ensembl
CGUCAAGCAAGUUAGAGACCAGUCGCACUGCCAAUAGCUCAAUGAAGCCUGCUUUCGCCUCAGGCUCCAGACACCUGUCUACACUGCCAGAGAGAAUCAUGUUACUGUGAUGAGGCAAGAUCUGACCAAUGAGCUGCUGUGAGAACAGCAGGCGAAGGUGGUGGGAACUCUCCUCCCAUCUCUCUCUCUCCGCUACGCUCCUUUACACAACCUUACCUGGGAAAUUCGCACAGGCCCAGGGAGGGGCCAGCAACCUGCUUGCCUAAUGAAUACAAAACAAAACCUCUCACUGACAGGUGAGUUACAGAAGUCAAGUGUGUUCAUUUACUCUUUCUUCUGUUCUUGUUUUUUUUUUCCUUCUCUCUUGUUUGCUUCCUCCUUAUUUUUCCCCCUUCAUGGCAUACAGCUUUACAUCAGCCCAUCGUGGCACCAUUCAGAAAAGAGAGAAUGGGACGAGAGAAACAAAAUAGAGCCAAAGUGUGGGAACUUUUCCUCCUUCUUUUAUUCCCAUCUGAGUGGUUUCAUUGUUAACUCUGUCUGUGUCAACCAGAGUGCACCUGGGGCCAAACCACAUACUUCUAC